GCAAGUCGAACGGAAAGACCAUUAGUUUACUAAAGGCUUUUUAGUGGCGGACGGGUUAGUAACACGUGAGUAACCUACCUCGAAGUGGGGGAUAGCCUUCCGAAAGGAAGAUUAAUACCGCAUGUGACCUACGGGUCAAAGGUGCCUUCGGGUGCCGCUUUGAGAUGGGCUCGCGGCCUAUCAGCUAGAUGGUGAGGUAACGGCUCACCAGGGCAACGACGGGUAGCUGGUCUGAGAGGACGAUC
Molecule: ribosomal RNA, 245 nt
Filed under: uncultured bacterium
Lineage: Bacteria
Description: partial 16S ribosomal RNA
Rfam family: Bacterial small subunit ribosomal RNA
Source: RNAcentral